AUUUAAAUAAUUUAAGUAAAAUAUUAAUUUGUGGAAUUAAAAAUGUUUUUUAAACUUUAGAUA
RNAcentral lists this transfer RNA (63 nucleotides) under Hydropsyche fryeri. RNAcentral describes it as "tRNA-His". Lineage: Eukaryota; Metazoa; Arthropoda; Insecta; Trichoptera; Hydropsychidae. The record is from RNAcentral.